RNAcentral lists this ribosomal RNA (508 nucleotides) under uncultured bacterium. Its description in RNAcentral is "partial 16S ribosomal RNA". It matches the Rfam family "Bacterial small subunit ribosomal RNA", at positions 28 to 507 of the family's 1533-position model. The record is from RNAcentral.
GACGAACGCUGGCGGCGUGCCUAAUACAUGCAAGUCGAACGCUUCUUUCCUCCCGAGUGCUUGCACUCAAUUGGAAAGAGGAGUGGCGGACGGGUGAGUAACACGUGGGUAACCUACCCAUCAGAGGGGGAUAACACUUGGAAACAGGUGCUAAUACCGCAUAACAGUUUAUGCCGCAUGGCAUAAGAGUGAAAGGCGCUUUCGGGUGUCGUUGAUGGAUGGACCCGCGGUGCAUUAGCUAGUUGGUGAGGUAAGGGCUCACCAAGGCCACGAUGCAUAGCCGACCUGAGAGGGUGAUCGGCCACACUGGGACUGGGACACGGCCCAGACUCCUACGGGAGGCAGCAGUAGGGAAUCUUCGGCAAUGGACGAAAGUCUGACCGAGCAACGCCGCGUGAGUGAAGAAGGUGUUCGGAUCGUAAAACUCUGUUGUUAGAGAAGAACAAGGACGUUAGUAACUGAACGUCCCCUGACGGUAUCUAACCAGAAAGCCACGGCUAACUACGUG